Molecule: long non-coding RNA, 914 nt
Organism: Pleuronectes platessa (European plaice)
Lineage: Eukaryota; Metazoa; Chordata; Actinopteri; Pleuronectiformes; Pleuronectidae
Exons: 3
Source: RefSeq, a predicted model, not a curated record
UGGAGUCUCUGUCAUGGUCAUGUAUGAACCCGUACCUGCACAGUUGCUGAGAGCAAAGCCCAGUCUCCGCUGGGCGCGGUCGAACACCACGAAGAAGCCUUCCAUAACAGUGGCGCCGAUCACGAGGCCGUUAGUUGAAGAUGACACUCCGAACCGGAAGCAGUCCAGUGUGCCGUCCAAAUCGGUGACAGGUUGGAUGUAAAGCUGGAAAAUGAACAGGGAGGAAUAACGACCGGUCAGUGUUUUUAUUUCUCUAAAAUUGACAGAGAAGCUCUGGAGAAAGGGCGACUGGUGUCUGUUUGUGUUUCCUCCAGGUACCUGAGGCAGAAUGGUGAUACGGAACGUCUGGCUGGUGUUUGUGGCUCUCAGAUAGAUGGACAGCUUGGGGAAGAAUCUCCAGGGGGUCUCCCCCUUCAACCAGCAUGCAAGCUUGGUGCCCUCCCAGAACCCUGAAGAAAAAUCCUGGAUCUGAACCACAGAGAAUCGAUGAACAAACAGAGACAGAGGGAGACAGGAAGGAAUAGGACAAGAGACAGAAGCAUGGGAUAGGCCAGCCCCAAGAUGCCCUGCCAGUUGACCCCAGGAAGAAAGAAGCCCUCAGAUGACAGGAUGGCGGCAAUGUUGAUGAUGAUGGUCCCGUUUGGCCCUUUGGGGAUGGAGACCCGGUCAAUGCCCAGUUCACCUUCCCAGUUACCCUGGGUGUACCUGACGGCAACCAUCCGACCGACUGACUCAUAGGUGGGUACGGGAAGCGACUGUUGGCCUGCCUGGAGGAGAUGGGCUUAUCACCUCCUCCUCGUUGGACUGGCCCUGGUCCCAUCUGCUGUGACUGUGCCAUCUCAAACCCCUCUGGCACAUGGCACCGGUCCAGCCACACAAGACCUGGACCAGCCAAACAGGCGGCAGAUCGGAAA